AACGCGUGAGUAACCUGCCCUGGAGUGGGGGACAACAGUUGGAAACGACUGCUAAUACCGCAUAAGCCCACGGCCCGGCAUCGGGCUGAGGGAAAAGGAUUUAUUCGCUUCAGGAUGGACUCGCGUCCAAUUAGCUAGUUGGUGAGGUAACGGCCCACCAAGGCGACGAUUGGUAGCCGGACUGAGAGGUUGAACGGCCACAUUGGGACUGAGACACGGCCCAGACUCCUACGGGAGGCAGCAGUGGGGGAUAUUGCACAAUGGGGGAAACCCUGAUGCAGCGACGCCGCGUGGAGGAAGAAGGUUUUCGGAUUGUAAACUCCUGUCGUUAGGGACGAUAAUGACGGUACCUAACAAGA
This 359-nucleotide ribosomal RNA is filed under the name uncultured bacterium. RNAcentral's name for it is "bacterial SSU rRNA". It matches the Rfam family "Bacterial small subunit ribosomal RNA", at positions 112 to 488 of the family's 1533-position model. The record is from RNAcentral.